This 465-nucleotide ribosomal RNA is filed under the name Vreelandella stevensii. Its description in RNAcentral is "partial 16S ribosomal RNA". It matches the Rfam family "Bacterial small subunit ribosomal RNA", at positions 338 to 795 of the family's 1533-position model. The record is from RNAcentral. Lineage: Bacteria; Pseudomonadati; Pseudomonadota; Gammaproteobacteria; Oceanospirillales; Halomonadaceae.
CCUACGGGAGUCUGCAGUGGGGAAUAUUGGACAAUGGGCGAAAGCCUGAUCCAGCCAUGCCGCGUGUGUGAAGAAGGCCUUCGGGUUGUAAAGCACUUUCAGUGGGGAAGAAAGCCUUGGGGCUAAUACCCUCGAGGAAGGACAUCACCCACAGAAGAAGCACCGGCUAACUCCGUGCCAGCAGCCGCGGUAAUACGGAGGGUGCGAGCGUUAAUCGGAAUUACUGGGCGUAAAGCGCGCGUAGGCGGUCUGAUAAGCCGGUUGUGAAAGCCCCGGGCUCAACCUGGGAACGGCAUCCGGAACUGUCAGGCUAGAGUGCAGGAGAGGAAGGUAGAAUUCCCGGUGUAGCGGUGAAAUGCGUAGAGAUCGGGAGGAAUACCAGUGGCGAAGGCGGCCUUCUGGACUGACACUGACGCUGAGGUGCGAAAGCGUGGGUAGCAAACAGGAUUAGAUACCCUAGUAGUC